RNAcentral lists this transfer RNA (61 nucleotides) under Boreonectes macedonicus. Its description in RNAcentral is "tRNA-Gly". Lineage: Eukaryota; Metazoa; Arthropoda; Insecta; Coleoptera; Dytiscidae. The record is from RNAcentral.
ACUUAUUCGUAAAAAUUGAUUUCCCAUAAAUGAAUCUUAAUUCAAAAUCUAAGAAUAAAUA